Alosa sapidissima (American shad) is the source of this 1335-nucleotide long non-coding RNA. RefSeq lists it as uncharacterized. NCBI's taxonomy places the organism in Eukaryota, Metazoa, Chordata, Actinopteri, Clupeiformes, Clupeidae. The record is from RefSeq and is a predicted model, not a curated record. The transcript has 5 exons.
GGUCUGGAAUUUAAUUUAAUAUUGUUGUAAUGGUAGGAUAACUACAUAGUUUACACAAUAAUUACACUGUGUUAUAAAUAUUGUAUAUCAAUGCAUUUAUUGACUGUCAAUUACCCAAAAAUCGUGGCUCGUCUAUCAUUGAACAGUAGCCUAUUUAAUGCAUUCUAAUCCAUUGUCAAUCACUUCCGGGAACUAUUUGACGUUUACAUGAACCACGUGACCUUAACGAAUUUUGAACACCCAUUGUCGCAACUCUACCUUUAUAUGGCUCUGGUCUGUGCACGAAAGAAAGAAUACAUUUGGCUAAUCAGAGAACUCUCGGCUAAUGUGAAGAACUGAUACAUUUGGCUAAAGAAAGUAUCAGCUAGCGUGAAGAACCGAUCAAUGGCAGCGUUUCAUCCUCCACAUACGUUUCUUGACUGGGAUGGCGUAGGCUCAGAUUGGAGAUGGUGACUUUAACCCACAGUCUUCAGAGCCACCAGAGUCACCAAGCAUAGCUGCUCCUAAUGACAUUUCCCAUUAUAGAGCAGCUGGUUCUGUGCAACCAAAGGUAUUCCGCAAGAUACAGCAUGGAAAUAGGAAGAGGCCACUAAAUGACUUCUAUAGUACAAAGACUUCAAAUGGGAGACUAUGGUGGUCUGAUGGUGAUCCAACAGAACUCUGUGUGGAUCCAGUCUGGUGUUGUCAGUUUUGGUUAUGGCUGUGCUCGACCCAAUUAUCCUGGAGUCUACUCAAGGGUGUCUCAGUACCAGGCUUGGAUCCAGUCCCACAUCAACAGUGACCAACCAGGGUUUGUCCAGUUCUCCUCUGUUGGAGUUGGUGAUGAUGAUAGCGUCUCUUGUCCUUCCACCACUAUAUACAAAUAGUAACAUAGCACCCACAUCUGCACCUCAGAGAGGGCUGACAUGGAAGCUCCCAAAAGUAAGUUCCCCAUAACGAACACUUAACUAUACACUGUUCUAGCGUAAAAUGUGUCAUAUUAACUAAAAUACAUAAUAACCAACCAUAUCAUUUGUUGUUUUAUCAACAUCAAAUUAUCAAUGAUAUUAUGAGUAAUAUUCUAUGUAAUAGUGCUAAUACUACAUGGAGUAGCCUUACCCUAAUGCAGUUUCAGUAGAGUCUUUUACAAUGGUGACUGUCAUUUAUGAUGAAACACCAGAAAUAUCUAUUUUAUAGGCAAAUGUGUUAUUUAAAGAAAAACAUAAUUAUCACACACAAUUUCCAUUUUCAUAGUCUUUGAAGUUACAGCCCCAGCUUACUUAAAGAGAGGCUCUGCUGAUGUUUGUGGUAGGCCUCCCCUCAAUGACCGAAUAGUUGGAGGACAAGACAGCCUUC